Molecule: non-coding RNA, 381 nt
Organism: Camellia sinensis
Lineage: Eukaryota; Viridiplantae; Streptophyta; Magnoliopsida; Ericales; Theaceae
Source: RefSeq, a predicted model, not a curated record
CGAAAAGGUCGUCCAGUUACUAAAAGAAAGGUUGCCAAAGUAGAUCAAAUAGUGAAUCGGUUGAAGGCAAGCAAAAGAAAACACAACAAAUCAAAGGUGCUUGGAGGUGAAGGUGAAGGUCAAUGUCAAUCUCAACCUGAAUGUAGUGUACGUAGAGAGCUUUAUCCUUAUGUGGUUGGCAUGGAAAAUAAUAUGUGUGUGCCGGGACACAUGGUCAAUGCUAUUGGAGGCACAUCUCUCACCCCGACAAGUGUGGACAUUAUGAGAAGACAAAGUUUCAUAAAUCCCCCAACUCAGAUUUAUGGAGUUGGCACAUCGCUUACCCCGUCGGACUGUAUUGGAGGCACACCGGGAUUUACGAGAACUCAACAAUCCAUGACU